Molecule: ribosomal RNA, 96 nt
Filed under: Plasmodium vinckei vinckei
Lineage: Eukaryota; Apicomplexa; Aconoidasida; Haemosporida; Plasmodiidae
Description: large subunit ribosomal RNA (RNA10)
Source: RNAcentral
UAUGUCCUGUUUCGAUUAUACUGUCUAACUUAGACAAUACAUAUUUGUGUAAUUAGCUAGAGUACGUAAGGAAAAGGAAAGGUUAACCGCUAUCAA